Molecule: ribosomal RNA, 549 nt
Filed under: Bacillus cereus
Lineage: Bacteria; Bacillati; Bacillota; Bacilli; Caryophanales; Bacillaceae
Description: bacterial SSU rRNA
Rfam family: Bacterial small subunit ribosomal RNA
Source: RNAcentral
UUUUCNCCCAGCUUUCGGGAUCGUUACAACUCUGUUGUUACGGGAAGAACAAGUGCUCGUUGAAUAAGCUGGCACCUUGAACGGUUCCUAACCAGUAAAGCCACGGCUAACUACGUGCCAUCAGCCGCGGUAAUAAGUAGGUGGCAAGCGUUAUCCGGAAUUAUUGGGCGUAAGCGCGCGCCGGUGGUUUCUUAAGUCUGAUGUGAAAGCCCACGGCUCAACCGUGGAAGGGUCAUUGGNAAACUGGGAGACUUGAGUGCAUAAUACGGAAAGUGGAAUUCCAUGUGUAGCGGUGAAAUGCGUAGAGAUAUGGAGGAACACCAAGUGGCGAACGCGACUUUCUGGUCUGUAACUGACACUGAAGCNCGAAANCGUGGGGAAGCAAACAGGGAUUACAUACCCUGGUAGUCCACGCCGUAAACGAUGAGUGCUAAGUGUUAGAGGGUUUCCGCCCUUUAGUGCUGAAGUUAACGCAUUAAGCACUCCGCCUGGGGAGUACGGCCGCAAGGCUGAAACUCAAAGGAAUUGACGGGGGCCCGCACAAGCGGU